AACGAACGCUGGCGGCAUGCCUAACACAUGCAAGUCGAACGAGAUCUUCGGGUCUAGUGGCGCACGGAUGCGUAACGCGUGGGAAUCUGCCCUCAGGUUCGGAAUAACCAUUGGAAACGAUGGCUAAUACCGGAUGAUGACGUUAAGUCCAAAGAUUUAUCGCCUGAGGAUGGGCCCGCGUAGGAUUAGCUAGUUGGUGUGGUAAAGGCGCACCAAGGCGACGAUCCUUAGCUGGUCUGAGAGGAUGAUCAGCCACACUGGGACUGAGACACGGCCCAGACUCCUACGGGAGGCAGCAGUGGGGAAUAUUGGACAAUGGGCGAAAGCCUGAUCCAGCAAUGCCGCGUGAGUGAUGAAGGCCUUAGGGUUGUAAAGCUCUUUUACCCGGGAUGAUAAUGACAGUACCGGGAGAAUAAGCUCCGGCUAACUCCGUG
Molecule: ribosomal RNA, 434 nt
Filed under: uncultured bacterium
Lineage: Bacteria
Description: partial 16S ribosomal RNA
Rfam family: Bacterial small subunit ribosomal RNA
Source: RNAcentral